UGGCUGUCGUAGCGAUUCUAAUUUGUGUUGCUAUUCUUUUAUCCCUCGGCAUGCGGCUCAUUCAAACUCGCCAGCUGCGUUCCUUGGAAAGGAGAGUCGCAGCGGGAGAAGUUGAUCUGGAGACCCUGGGUAUUAAGCGGCUGAACGUCCCGCAAGAUAUCCUGGAUAAAAUGCCCCUCUAUAUCUGCGAUGGGUCAGGUAGAAUUGAGCAUUUCAUACCUCCGACUGCGGAAACGACGCUAGAACCCGAAGGACAUUCCAAAUUACCAUUAGAUAAGAAGAGUUUUCUUCAAGCUAUGUCGAAUUGGGUGUGGAUUUCACGGGUAUCACAAACCCUCUUUCCGCGUAAAUCACCAUCUCCAUCAUCGGCUCUGCCUCCACCAUCUCCAAGGUCGC
This 396-nucleotide small RNA is filed under the name Histoplasma capsulatum. Its description in RNAcentral is "hypothetical RNA". The record is from RNAcentral. RNAcentral also lists the same sequence under 1 other name. Lineage: Eukaryota; Fungi; Ascomycota; Eurotiomycetes; Onygenales; Ajellomycetaceae.